Molecule: ribosomal RNA, 823 nt
Filed under: Cryobacterium sp. RODXS6
Lineage: Bacteria; Bacillati; Actinomycetota; Actinomycetes; Micrococcales; Microbacteriaceae
Description: bacterial SSU rRNA
Rfam family: Bacterial small subunit ribosomal RNA
Source: RNAcentral
CCUGCAGUCGACGGUGAUGAGGAGCUUGCUUCUCUGAUCAGUGGCGAACGGGUGAGUAACACGUGAGCAAUCUGCCCUUGACUCUGGGAUAACUGCGGGAAACUGUAGCUAAUACCGGAUACGACCUUUGGAGGCAUCUCUGGGGGUGGAAAGAAUUUUGGUCAAGGAUGAGCUCGCGGCCUAUCAGCUAGUUGGUGAGGUAAUGGCUCACCAAGGCGACGACGGGUAGCCGGCCUGAGAGGGUGACCGGCCACACUGGGACUGAGACACGGCCCAGACUCCUACGGGAGGCAGCAGUGGGGAAUAUUGCACAAUGGGCGCAAGCCUGAUGCAGCAACGCCGCGUGAGGGACGAAGGCCUUCGGGUUGUAAACCUCUUUUAGUAGGGAAGAAGCGACUGGGUUUUCCUGGAAGUGACGGUACCUGCAGAAAAAGCACCGGCUAACUACGUGCCAGCAGCCGCGGUAAUACGUAGGGUGCAAGCGUUGUCCGGAAUUAUUGGGCGUAAAGAGCUCGUAGGCGGUUUGUCGCGUCUGCUGUGAAAACCCGAGGCUCAACCUCGGGCCUGCAGUGGGUACGGGCAGACUAGAGUGCGGUAGGGGAGAUUGGAAUUCCUGGUGUAGCGGUGGAAUGCGCAGAUAUCAGGAGGAACACCAAUGGCGAAGGCAGAUCUCUGGGCCGUAACUGACGCUGAGGAGCGAAAGCAUGGGGAGCGAACAGGAUUAGAUACCCUGGUAGUCCAUGCCGUANACGUUGGGAACUAGAUGUGGGGACCAUUCCACGGUCUCCGUGUCGCAGCUAACGCAUUAAGUUCCCCGCCUGGG